GAAGCCCGCCACUCAGACGAGAGUCGACUGUCGAGCCGAAAGGUUGUGUGUUAACCGUCGUCCUGUCGAUUUUUAUCUUUCUCUCUCCAGUGCGUUUCCCUCCUCGUUAUCAAUCCGCAAUUUUCUUUGCCAUCACUCGCAAGAUAUUAUUUUGCAUCCAAGUUUGGCAUUACAUUUUCAAUUGUGUGCUGCCCACACGAAAAGAGCCGGUUAUUUUACUCCAUUUUUUCGGGUUUUGUCCCAGUGAUUUUGUGAUUUGAGUGUGUCAUUGGUGCUGAUCAUUUGAAAUUGGUGUGUUUGUUUCAUGGUCUCUGUCCGCUCUGAUUUAAUUGGAUAACAUAUCGCAAAGUGUGUCUCAAUUGCAUCGACGACACGUGCUACAGUGCUAAACUUGAGGAAUAUUCCAUUUCGUUUUGGGGUGAAAAAUUGGAACUUUUUUUGGAGCUCUCUGCUGUUCCCAGCAGACCGCCGCCAUCAUCAUCAUCACGUCGUUAACUGGUGUCUGUGAUUGUGUGCUUCUCUCUCCCUUUAAUGGUGCCGAUGGAUAUCUGUGUCGAUGAACUGGCAGUGCUUUUAUCAUCGUAACCUUGGCCAAGGUGUCCGCCCUGUCUCGUCGCGGUAAAUUCUCCUCAAGAAAACGUGUGUGUUGCAAUUCCAGGAAUAGUUCAAAAGAGAUAAAUCGAGGCACUUUGGAGCGUGAACAAGAACAACCUUUUUUUUCUUCCUAAACUGUGUCAAAGUGAAGCAUCUCGAAAAGAUCGAAAAAUGUCACCCGAAAUGGUCAUCUACUUCUUGUUGCUGCUCAUUGAACUGAUCUGCCAGACGGCCGCAUCUGCUAACCGGCUCAGCGACAUUUACUGGAAUUCCACCAACCCAAUGUAAGUAAACCUACACCAUUUGCCAUUAUAUGCGAGUUGUUCGUGUGUCGAGAGGUGCGUUGAGUUGGCCACUACAAGGUAAGAGGCCACUGGCCGGACGAGAUUCAUUUAAGCAACGGACGGAUCGCACGGGACGCUCUUGAAACGGGUCCAAUGGGGUCGCUCAUAUCUUGCCCGUCAAUUUUCGAACGAGGCGGCGUAAUGAAGCCACGGGAGUCAAUUGAUUAAACGCGGUCGAAAACGUAAUGCUCCUAUUAUGGGGCGGCGUAAUUGUUGAUUGGAUUUUAGCGGCGCCCGUCUCCAUUUCUCACGUUAGACCUGUGAUAUCAAAUUUAGCUAUUGGGAAGCUUACAAAAUCACCUUGAUGGUCUACAAGAAAAAAGCUGUAUAAAUUGAAAAAGAAAAAAGAAACACUUCACGGAAUUGUUCCUUUUUUUUCUUCUUCUCCUGCCUUGAUCAAUGAUUCCCUUUUUUUAUUAUUGGAUCAAUCAAUUGUAUAUCUCUAUACAAUGCAUGUACUGCGUGCUCUAUUGAAUGCCGGGUAGAGAUGCUGACGCGGCAGUUAGUUGAUAUGAAAAGGGACAAGGGAAUGAAUAGGACGACCGGUGGCGACAUUGAAACUUCACCGCGUUUCGGCCUGCUCACCGUCGAACCUCAUCCAGUCUCUGUGUGUGUGUGGUGAUUUGAAUGAGCGGCCGCCGUAUUUGUGUGGCGGUUAUUGAGGGGUCCUAUAACUUUGGCUUCGCAGAGGA
This 1630-nucleotide long non-coding RNA is filed under the name Daphnia pulex (common water flea). RNAcentral describes it as "uncharacterized LOC124201684, transcript variant X2". The record is from RNAcentral. Lineage: Eukaryota; Metazoa; Arthropoda; Branchiopoda; Diplostraca; Daphniidae.